GACGAACGCUGGCGGCGUGCUUAACACAUGCAAGUCGAACGGUGAAGCACCUUCCUUUUGGUGGGUGUGGAUGAGUGGCGAACGGGUGAGUAACACGUGAGUAACCUGCCCCCUUCUUCUGGAUAACCGCAUGAAAGUGUGGCUAAUACGGGAUAUUCUGUGCCUGCUGCAUGGUGGGUGUGGGAAAGAUGCGCUUUUGGGUGUUUUUGGUGGGGGAUGGGCUCGCGGCCUAUCAGCUUGUUGGUGGGGUGAUGGCCUACCAAGGCGGUGACGGGUAGCCGGCCUGAGAGGGGGGACGGUCACACUGGGACUGAGACACGGCCCAGACUCCUACGGGAGGCAGCAGUGGGGAAUAUUGCACAAUGGGCGCAAGCCUGAUGCAGCGACGCCGCGUGAGGGAUGGAGGCCUUCGGGUUGUAAACCUCUUUCGCCAGUGAAGCAGGCCUGUCCCUUGUGGGUGGGUUGACGGUAGCUGGAUAAGAAGCGCCGGCUAACUACGUG
RNAcentral lists this ribosomal RNA (501 nucleotides) under uncultured bacterium. RNAcentral's name for it is "partial 16S ribosomal RNA". It matches the Rfam family "Bacterial small subunit ribosomal RNA", at positions 28 to 507 of the family's 1533-position model. The record is from RNAcentral.